Molecule: ribosomal RNA, 859 nt
Filed under: uncultured bacterium
Lineage: Bacteria
Description: bacterial SSU rRNA
Rfam family: Bacterial small subunit ribosomal RNA
Source: RNAcentral
CAAGCGUUNUCCGGAAUUAUUGGGCGUAAAGCGCGCGCAGGCGGAUAGGUCAGUCUNUCUUAAAAGUUCGGGGCUUAACCCCGUGAUGGGAUGGAAACUNCCAAUCUAGAGUAUCGGAGAGGAAAGUGGAAUUCCUAGUGUAGCGGUGAAAUGCGUAGAUAUUAGGAAGAACACCAGAGGCGAAGGCGACUUUCUGGACGAAAACUGACGCUGAGGCGCGAAAGCCAGGGGAGCGAACGGGAUUAGAUACCCCGGUAGUCCUGGCCGUAAACGAUGGGUACUAGGUGUAGGAGGUAUCGACCCCUUCUGUGCCGGAGUUAACGCAAUAAGUACCCCGCCUGGGGAGUACGACCGCAAGGUUGAAACUCAAAGGAAUUGACGGGGGCCCGCACAAGCGGUGGAGUAUGUGGUUUAAUUCGACGCAACGCGAAGAACCUUACCAGGUCUUGACAUUGAUGGACAGAACCAGAGAUGGUUCCUCUUCUUCGGAAGCCAGAAAACAGGUGUGCACGGUUGUCGUCAGCUCGUGUCGUGAGAUGUUGGGUUAGGUCCCGCAACGAGCGCAACCCCUAUCUUAUGUUGCCAGCGCGUAAUGGUGGGAACUCAUGAGAGACUGCCGCAGACAAUGCGGAGGAAGGCGGGGAUGACGUCAAAUCAUCAUGCCCCUUAUGACCUGGGCUACACACGUACUACAAUGGGAGUUAAUAGACGGAAGCGAGAUCGCGAGAUGGAGCAAACCCGAGAAACACUCUCUCAGUUCGGAUCGUAGGCUGCAACUCGCCUACGUGAAGUCGGAAUCGCUAGUAAUCGCAGGUCAGCAUACUGCGGUGAAUACGUUCCCGGGCCUUGUACACACCGC